RNAcentral lists this ribosomal RNA (460 nucleotides) under uncultured bacterium. Its description in RNAcentral is "partial 16S ribosomal RNA". It matches the Rfam family "Bacterial small subunit ribosomal RNA", at positions 338 to 795 of the family's 1533-position model. The record is from RNAcentral.
CCUACGGGAGGCAGCAGUGGGGAAUAUUGGUCAAUGGGCGCAAGCCUGAACCAGCCAUGCCGCGUGAAGGAAGACGGCCCUAUGGGUUGUAAACUCCUUUUGUACGAGGGUAAACGGAGAGACGCGUGUCUUUUUGUAUGUACUUUACGAAUAAGGAUCGGCUAACUUCGUGCCAGCAGCCGCGGUAAUACGGAGGGUUCAAGCGUUAUCCGGAUUUAUUGGGCUUAAAGUGUGCGUAGGCGGUAGGGUAAGUUAGAUGUGAAAUCCCGUGGCUCAACUUUGGAAUUGCAUUUGAUACUGGUCGGCUAGAGAAUAGGAGCGGUAGGCAGAAUGUAUGGUGUAGCGGUGAAAUGCGUAGAGAUCAUGCGGAACACCGAUUGCGAAGGCAGCCUACUAGGACACUUCUGACGCUGAUGCGCGAAAGCGUGGGGAGCAAACAGGAUUAGAUACCCUAGUAGUC